Molecule: ribosomal RNA, 385 nt
Filed under: uncultured eukaryote
Lineage: Eukaryota
Description: partial 18S ribosomal RNA
Rfam family: Eukaryotic small subunit ribosomal RNA
Source: RNAcentral
CAAUAGCGUAUAUUAAAGUUGUUGCAGUUAAAAAGCUCGUAGUUGGAUUUCUGGAUCGAACGCUUCGUCCGCCGCUGUGCGGUGUGUACUGAGGUUUUGUUUCGAUUCAUCCUUGCAGGGAAGCGAGUUCGAGAUUAAUUUGUCGGCUCGGGGAACUGCAUCUUUUACUGUGAAAAAAUUAGAGUGUUUAAAGCAGGCAUUUUGCUGUGAAUACAUUAGCAUGGAAUAAUAACAUAGGACUUUGGUUCUAUUUUGUUGGUUGGAGGCCAAGGUAAUGAUUAAUAGGGACAGUUGGGGGUAUUCAUAUUUAUUUGUCAGAGGUGAAAUUCUUGGAUUUAUGAAAGAUGAACUCAUGCGAAAGCAUUUACCAAGGAUGUUUUCAUUA